Long non-coding RNA from Myotis davidii, 227 nucleotides. RefSeq lists it as uncharacterized. The record is from RefSeq and is a predicted model, not a curated record. The transcript is spliced from 2 exons. NCBI's taxonomy places the organism in Eukaryota, Metazoa, Chordata, Mammalia, Chiroptera, Vespertilionidae.
AGCUCCUGUUUCUCUCACCCACAGGACGCGGCGGGUCCUCCGGGGCGAAGUUCCGGAUUUCCCUGGGUCUUCCGGUGGGAGCCGUGAUCAACUGUGCUGACAACACCGGAGCCAAAAAUCUGUAUAUAAUCUCCGUGAAGGGGAUCAAGGGACGACUGAACAGACUUCCUGCCGCCGGGGUGGGUGACAUGGUGAUGGCCACAGUCAAAAAAGGCAAACCGGAGCUC